UACAAUGGAGAGUUUGAUCCUGGCUCAGGAUGAACGCUAGCGGCAGGCCUAACACAUGCAAGUCGAACGGUAACAGAGAGAGCUUGCUCUUUGCUGACGAGUGGCGAACGGGUGAGUAACGCGUAUGCAACCUACCUUUAACUGGGAGAUAGCCCCGAGAAAUCGGGAUUAAUACCCCAUAACAUUACGAAAUCUCAUGUUUUUGUAAUUAAAGCUUCGGCGGUUAAAGAUGGGCAUGCGGGACAUUAGCUAGUUGGUGAGGUAAUAGCUCACCAAGGCUACGAUGUCUAGGGGGCCUGAGAGGGUUAUCCCCCACACUGGUACUGAGACACGGACCAGACUCCUACGGGAGGCAGCAGUGAGGAAUAUUGCGCAAUGGACGAAAGUCUGACGCAGCCAUGCCGCGUGCAGGAUGACGGCCCUACGGGUUGUAAACUGCUUUUAUAUAGGAAGAAACCCCUUUACGUGUAAAGGGCUGACGGUACUAUACGAAUAAGCACCGGCUAACUCCGUGCCAGCAGCCGCGGUAAUACGGAGGGUCCAAGCGUUAUCCGGAUUUAUUAGGUUUAAAGGGUCCGCAGGCGGGAUUUUAAGUCAGUGGUGAAAGCCUACAGCUCAACUGUAGAACUGCCAUUGAUACUGAUAGACUUGAAUGCGGUUGAAGUGGGUGGAAUGUGUAGUGUAGCGGUGAAAUGCAUAGAUAUUACACAGAACUCCGAUUGCGAAGGCAACUCACUAAACCGUUAUUGAC
Molecule: ribosomal RNA, 751 nt
Filed under: Crocinitomicaceae bacterium
Lineage: Bacteria; Pseudomonadati; Bacteroidota; Flavobacteriia; Flavobacteriales; Crocinitomicaceae
Description: bacterial SSU rRNA
Rfam family: Bacterial small subunit ribosomal RNA
Source: RNAcentral